AACGAACGCUGGCGGCAUGCCUAACACAUGCAAGUCGAACGAGACCUUCGGGUCUCGUGGCGCACGGGUGCGUAACGCGUGGGAACCUGCCCUUAGGUUCGGAAUAACUCCCCGAAAGGGGUGCUAAUACCGGAUAAUGUCUUCGGACCAAAGAUUUAUCGCCUUUGGAUGGGCCCGCGUUGGAUUAGCUAGUUGGUAGGGUAAAAGCCUACCAAGGCGACGAUCCAUAGCUGGUCUGAGAGGAUGAUCAGCCACACUGGGACUGAGACACGGCCCAGACUCCUACGGGAAGCAGCAGUGGGGAAUAUUGGACAAUGGGCGAAAGCCUGAUCCAGCAAGGCCGCGUGAGUGAUGAAGGCCUUAGGGUUGUAAAGCUCUUUUACCCGGGAUGAUAAUGACAGUACCGGGAGAAUAAGCUCCGGCUAACUCCGUG
Molecule: ribosomal RNA, 433 nt
Filed under: uncultured bacterium
Lineage: Bacteria
Description: partial 16S ribosomal RNA
Rfam family: Bacterial small subunit ribosomal RNA
Source: RNAcentral